GAUGAACGCUGGCGGCGUGCCUAAUACAUGCAAGUAGAACGCUGAAGGAAGGAGCUUGCUCUUUCCGGGUGAGUUGCGAACGGGUGAGUAACGCGUAGGUAACCUGCCUGGUAGCGGGGGAUAACUAUUGGAAACGAUAGCUAAUACCGCAUAACAGUAGAUGUUGCAUGAUAUCUACUUAAAAGGUGCAAUUGCACCACUACCAGAUGGACCUGCGUUGUAUUAGCUAGUUGGUGAGGUAACGGCUCACCAAGGCGACGAUACAUAGCCGACCUGAGAGGGUGAUCGGCCACACUGGGACUGAGACACGGCCCAGACUCCUACGGGAGGCAGCAGUAGGGAAUCUUCGGCAAUGGACGGAAGUCUGACCGAGCAACGCCGCGUGAGUGAAGAAGGUUGUCGGAUCGUAAAGCUCUGUUGUAAGAGAAGAACGAGUGUGAGAGUGGAAAGUUCACACUGUGACGGUAUCUUACCAGAAAGGGACGGCUAACUACGUG
Molecule: ribosomal RNA, 497 nt
Filed under: uncultured bacterium
Lineage: Bacteria
Description: partial 16S ribosomal RNA
Rfam family: Bacterial small subunit ribosomal RNA
Source: RNAcentral